UACGAAGGGGGCUAGCGUUGUUCGGAAUCACUGGGCGUAAAGCGCACGUAGGCGGAUCUUUAAGUCAGGGGUGAAAUCCCGAGGCUCAACCUCGGAACUGCCUUUGAUACUGGGGAUCUCGAGUCCGGGAGAGGUGAGUGGAACUGCGAGUGUAGAGGUGAAAUUCGUAGAUAUUCGCAAGAACACCAGUGGCGAAGGCGGCUCACUGGCCCGGUACUGACGCUGAGGUACGAAAGCGUGGGGAGCAAACAGG
RNAcentral lists this ribosomal RNA (253 nucleotides) under uncultured bacterium. Its description in RNAcentral is "partial 16S ribosomal RNA". It matches the Rfam family "Bacterial small subunit ribosomal RNA", at positions 524 to 776 of the family's 1533-position model. The record is from RNAcentral.